ACGGAGGGUGCAAGCGUUAUCCGGAUUUAUUGGGUUUAAAGGGUCCGUAGGCGGAUCUGUAAGUCAGUGGUGAAAUCUCGCAGCUUAACUGCGAAACUGCCAUUGAUACUGCAGGUCUUGAGUAAAUUUGAAGUGGCUGGAAUAAGUAGUGUAGCGGUGAAAUGCAUAGAUAUUACGUAGAACACCAAUUGCGAAGGCAGGUCACUAAGAUUUAACUGACGCUGAGGGACGAAAGCGUGGGGAGCGAACAG
Molecule: ribosomal RNA, 251 nt
Filed under: uncultured prokaryote
Description: partial 16S rRNA
Rfam family: Bacterial small subunit ribosomal RNA
Source: RNAcentral